Molecule: small nuclear RNA, 99 nt
Filed under: Zalophus californianus (California sea lion)
Lineage: Eukaryota; Metazoa; Chordata; Mammalia; Carnivora; Otariidae
Also listed under: 1 other name
Source: RNAcentral
CUAACCUUUGUAAGAAUUUUCCCCGUGUUAAUGAUACAGAGAUUAGCGUGGCCUCUGCACAAGGAUGACAUGCAAAUUGGUGAAGUAUUCCAUAUUUUU